This 1088-nucleotide small RNA is filed under the name Suzukiozyma aff. candida VKPM Y3988. RNAcentral describes it as "eukaryotic LSU rRNA". The stretch from base 533 to 1088 matches the Rfam family "Eukaryotic large subunit ribosomal RNA", at positions 1 to 560 of the family's 3401-position model. The record is from RNAcentral. Lineage: Eukaryota; Fungi; Ascomycota; Pichiomycetes; Serinales; Debaryomycetaceae.
ACAGUAUUCUAUUGCCUGCGCUUAAUUGCGCGGCGAUAAACCUUACACAACGUGUUUUUUUAUUAUGAACUAUUACUUUGGUCUGGCUAAGAAAUUAGUUGGGCCAGAGGUGAUUUAAACUUCAAUUUUAUUGAAUUGUUAUUUUAAUUUUUGUCAAUUUGUUGAUUAAAUUCAAAACAAUCUUCAAAACUUUCAACAACGGAUCUCUUGGUUCUCGCAUCGAUGAAGAACGCAGCGAAAUGCGAUAAGUAAUAUGAAUUGCAGAUUUUCGUGAAUCAUCGAAUCUUUGAACGCACAUUGCACCCUCUGGUAUUCCAGAGGGUAUGCCUGUUUGAGCGUCAUUUCUCUCUCAAACCCUUGGGUUUGGUAUUGAGUGAUACUCUUAGUUGAACUAGGCGUUUGCUUGAAAUAUAUUGGCACGAGUAGUGUUGAACAGUGUUGUCUGAACAUCAAUGUAUUAGGUUUAUCCAACUCGUUGAUACAGGUAGUACGAUUCUUCAUUAGGCUUUGCCUUAUAAAACACAAACAAGUUUGACCUCAAAUCAGGUAGGAUUACCCGCUGAACUUAAGCAUAUCAAUAAGCGGAGGAAAAGAAACCAACAGGGAUUGCCUUAGUAACGGCGAGUGAAGCGGCAAAAGCUCAAAUUUGAAAUCUAGCACCUUCGGUGUUCGAGUUGUAAUUUGAAGAAGGUAACCUUGGGAUUGGCUCUGUCUAUGUUUCUUGGAACAGAACGUCACAGAGGGUGAGAAUCCCGUGCGAUGAGAUGACCAAUUCUAUGUAAGGUGCUUUCGAAGAGUCGAGUUGUUUGGGAAUGCAGCUCUAAGUGGGUGGUAAAUUCCAUCUAAAGCUAAAUAUUGGCGAGAGACCGAUAGCGAACAAGUACAGUGAUGGAAAGAUGAAAAGAACUUUGAAAAGAGAGUGAAAAAGUACGUGAAAUUGUUGAAAGGGAAGGGUAUGAGAUCAGACUUGGUGUUUUGCAACCUUAUCUUCGGAUGGGGCCCCUGCAGUUCAUCGGGCCAGCAUCAGUUUGGAUGGUAGGAUAAUGACAUUGGAAUGUGACUUGGCUUCGGUUAAGUGUUAUAGCCCU